ACGAAGGGUGCAAGCGUUGUUCGGAUUUAUUGGGCGUAAAGCGCGCGCAGGCGGGUUAUUAAGUCAGGUGUGAAAUCUUAGGGCUCAACCCUGAAACUGCGCCUGAAACUGGUAAUCUAGAAUGUCGGAGGGGGAAGGGGAAUUUCGCGUGUAGGGGUGAAAUCCGGAGAUAUGCGGAGGAAUACCAGAGGCGAAGGCGCCUUCCUAGACGAUGAUUGACACUGAGGCGCGAAAGCGUGGGGAGCAAACAG
Molecule: ribosomal RNA, 251 nt
Filed under: uncultured prokaryote
Description: partial 16S rRNA
Rfam family: Bacterial small subunit ribosomal RNA
Source: RNAcentral